GGAAGACCAAGAUUUAUUUCUGAAGUACAUCAAGAAAAUAUGAAUUCUCCUUUACCUGGGUUUGUUCCCCCUCACAGACCAUACGAGAGUUUGAUUGGUGAAACCAGGUACCCAGGUCCAAGUGGCCAUUCGCUUCACAGUUAUCCUGGGAGUGAUCCUUACAGCAUUGGUGGACGUGGACGUUUCCUAGACAGUCGUCAGAUGGGUGAACUACCCCCAAGGGAAUACACUGAUGUAGCUUACCCCUUCCCACCCACUGGUUAGUUCUUUAAUUGACUGCACCCUGCUGUUGCGUGUGAUAUAUUUCCAACAAUAAAAAUCAAAAGAUAAACAGCUUACCACUUUGCAUUGGAGUGCGUAAUUACAUUAGAGAUGGGUAUUUACAUUAGAUGGAGUGUUGGC
Molecule: unclassified non-coding RNA, 402 nt
Filed under: Hevea brasiliensis (rubber tree)
Lineage: Eukaryota; Viridiplantae; Streptophyta; Magnoliopsida; Malpighiales; Euphorbiaceae
Source: RNAcentral